Molecule: non-coding RNA, 106 nt
Organism: Capsicum annuum
Lineage: Eukaryota; Viridiplantae; Streptophyta; Magnoliopsida; Solanales; Solanaceae
Source: Rfam
CUUCAUUAUUUGGGCAUUUCAUUAAUUUAUCAUUGAAACAUUGCCAAACUACAAACAAUGGUUCACCAUUAAGUUGGAGGAAGUUGGAAAUUUUAUCCCAUAGUUG